GACGAACGCUGGCGGCGUGCUUAACACAUGCAAGUCGAACGGAGCGAAUGAAAGCUUGCUUUUAUGAGCUUAGUGGCAAACGGGUGAGUAACACGUAGACAACCUGCCGACAGGAUGGGGACAACAUUCCGAAAGGAAUGCCAAUACCGAAUGAAGCGGAGGAGAGGCAUCUCUCUUCCGUGAAAGAUGGCCUCUUUUUAUGCUAUCACCUGUUGAUGGGUCUGCGUCUGAUUAGCUGGUUGGUGAGGUAACGGCUCACCAAGGCGACGAUCAGUAGCCGGUCUGAGAGGAUGAACGGCCACAUUGGGACUGAGACACGGCCCAGACUCCUACGGGAGGCAGCAGUGGGGAAUCUUCCGCAAUGGGCGCAAGCCUGACGGAGCAACGCCGCGUGAGUGAAGAAGGUCUUCGGAUCGUAAAGCUCUGUUGACGGGGACGAACGUGCGGAGUGCGAAUAGCGCUU
RNAcentral lists this ribosomal RNA (463 nucleotides) under Centipeda dianae. RNAcentral's name for it is "bacterial SSU rRNA". It matches the Rfam family "Bacterial small subunit ribosomal RNA", at positions 28 to 469 of the family's 1533-position model. Lineage: Bacteria; Bacillati; Bacillota; Negativicutes; Selenomonadales; Selenomonadaceae. The record is from RNAcentral.